CGCGCAGGCGGUCGUUCAAGUCGCGUGUGAAAGCCCCCGGCUCAACUGGGGAGGGUCACGCGAUACUGUUCGACUUGAAGGCAGGAGAGGGAAGUGGAAUUCCCGGUGUAGUGGUGAAAUGCGUAGAUAUCGGGAGGAACACCAGUGGCGAAGGCGACUUCCUGGCCUGUUCUUGACGCUGAGGCGCGAAAGCUAGGGUAGCAAACG
RNAcentral lists this ribosomal RNA (207 nucleotides) under uncultured bacterium. RNAcentral's name for it is "partial 16S ribosomal RNA". It matches the Rfam family "Bacterial small subunit ribosomal RNA", at positions 568 to 774 of the family's 1533-position model. The record is from RNAcentral.